AGAGUUUGAUCCUGGCUCAGAGCGAACGCUGGCGGCAUGCUUAACACAUGCAAGUCGCACGGGCAGGGGAAACCCUGUCAGUGGCGGACGGGUGAGUAACGCGUAGGAAUCUAUCUCUGGGUGGGGGACAACCGUGGGAAACUACGGCUAAUACCGCAUGAUGACCGAGGUCCAAAGGCGCAAGUCGCCCGGGGAGGAGCCUGCGUACGAUUAGCUUGUUGGUGGGGUAAAGGCCUACCAAGGCGACGAUCGUUAGCUGGUCUGAGAGGAUGAUCAGCCACAUUGGGACUGAGACACGGCCCAAACUCCUACGGGAGGCAGCAGUGGGGAAUAUUGGACAAUGGGCGAAAGCCUGAUCCAGCAAUGCCGCGUGUGUGAAGAAGGUCUUCGGAUUGUAAAGCACUUUCGACGGGGACGAUGAUGACGGUACCCGUAGAAGAAGCCCCGGCUAACUUCGUGCCAGCAGCCGCGGUAAUACGAAGGGGGCUAGCGUUGCUCGGAAUGACUGGGCGUAAAGGGCGCGUAGGCGGAUGGCACAGUCAGAUGUGAAAUUCCCGGGCUUAACCUGGGGGCUGCAUUUGAUACGUGCUGUCUAGAGUGA
This 601-nucleotide ribosomal RNA is filed under the name uncultured bacterium. RNAcentral describes it as "bacterial SSU rRNA". It matches the Rfam family "Bacterial small subunit ribosomal RNA", at positions 8 to 649 of the family's 1533-position model. The record is from RNAcentral.